CUGCUGCCCCCGCGACCCGGCCCCGGAUGAAGCGGAAGAAGAUGGAUGUAUGUAUGUAUGUAUGUACAUCUAAAAAACUCACAUUGGAACUUGACCAUAACCACCCCAAAUGCCAUAAAGGAAAUGUUUGUUUUCACCUUUUGAUUUCACUACACAGCCAAUUUACAUUUUGCAGAUGUGCAAUUCAGAGGAACCAUCUCCUUGUCUGGUCGAUGGGUCGCCAGGAUACUAAGUCUGCAGUGUACUGUACGUGUCAUCACGAGGGGACCGAGCCAGAGGGGACGGGAUGUAACGUACGUGAAAUCACCAGGGGCCCGAGCCAGAGGGACGGGAUGUAACGUACGUGUCAUCACCAGGGGACAGAGACAGGAUGUGACGUACCUGUCAUCACCAGGGGACACAGCCAGAUGGGACGGAAUGUGCCGUACGUGUCAUCACCAGAGGACAGAGCCAGAUGACAUGGGAUGUGCCAUAUAUAUCAUCACCAGGGGACACAGCCAGAUGGGACGGAAUGUGCCAUACGUGUCAUCACCAGGGGACACAGCCAGAUGAGACGGGAUGUGCCGUACGUGUCAUCACCAGGGGACACAGCCAGAUGAGAAGGGAUGUGCCGUACGUGUCAUCACCAGGGGACACAGCCAGAUGAGACGGGAUGUGCCGUACGUGUCAUCACCAGGGGACACAGCCAGAUGAGACGGGAUGUGCCGGAUCCGCCUGUUUUUCUUUCCUAUUGAAAUGAGUUGGCUCCUGCACCCCCGGAAGAACGCGCUCUGACCGCCGUGUGGCGCGGCGUGAAGCUCCCCAUUUUCAGACUUGUGAUGCACCAGGGCCGCCAACUACAGGAGUGUUAUAAAUCAAAUCAAUGUUAUGUACACACUGACGAAUAUAAAGUUAAAUGCUGUAAAUAAAAUUCACUGUGUACCCAUA
Long non-coding RNA from Esox lucius (northern pike), 927 nucleotides. RefSeq lists it as uncharacterized. Lineage: Eukaryota; Metazoa; Chordata; Actinopteri; Esociformes; Esocidae. The transcript is spliced from 2 exons. The record is from RefSeq and is a predicted model, not a curated record.